CCUACGGGAGGCUGCAGUGGGGAAUAUUGCACAAUGGGGGAAACCCUGAUGCAGCGACGCCGCGUGAGUGAAGAAGUAAUUCGUUAUGUAAAGCUCUAUCAGCAGGGAAGAAAAUGACGGUACCUGAGUAAGAAGCCACGGCUAACUACGUGCCAGCAGCCGCGGUAAAACGUAGGGGGCAAGCGUUAUCCGGAUUUACUGGGUGUAAAGGGAGCGUAGACGGCAGUGCAAGUCUGAAGUGAAAUGCCAGUGCUCAACACUGGAACUGCUUUGGAAACUGUGUGGCUAGAGUGCAGGAGAGGUAAGUGGAAUGCCUGGUGUAGCGGUGAAAUGCGUAGAUAUUAGGAGUAACACCAGUGGCGAAGGCGGCUUACUGGACUGUAACUGACGUGGAGGCUCGAAGGCGUGGGGAGCAAACAGGAUUAGAUACCCCAGUAGUC
RNAcentral lists this ribosomal RNA (440 nucleotides) under uncultured bacterium. Its description in RNAcentral is "partial 16S ribosomal RNA". It matches the Rfam family "Bacterial small subunit ribosomal RNA", at positions 338 to 795 of the family's 1533-position model. The record is from RNAcentral.